Molecule: long non-coding RNA, 3541 nt
Organism: Sarcophilus harrisii (Tasmanian devil)
Lineage: Eukaryota; Metazoa; Chordata; Mammalia; Dasyuromorphia; Dasyuridae
Exons: 2
Source: RefSeq, a predicted model, not a curated record
ACCAUCAAAAUAAUUCACUCAUCCCUUCCUGGCCGCCCAAAGCCGCCGCCUCUGCCCGGAGCACGGGCCACACCUUUGGAAUGCUAGGUGGGACUCAGCCCCAGAGCUUCCCGGUGGGGUUCCUGGGGACCAUCAGCGACGGGGAGGUCCUGGGAGGAACAGCCCCUGGCACCGGCUCCGGGACGGCUCCGCUCCUUGACACGCAGAUGAACCGCAGGUCACCCUACCACGGGCCAGAUCCCGCCCAGGCAGGGCAGACUUUCCCAGGAGAGCUCCCAGCACAAACACUGAACACAAAUACUGGUCUCUAAGCAUCUGGAGUCAGGAAGAGGUGUCGGGCGAGGGGACUGGAAGAGGUUCCCUCCGGCUCUAGGCCAUCGGUUCUGUGAUUCAGUUGCAGAGUUCCUUCACAGAUUGCUCGGCAUUCAGGAAGAUGUUAAGUUUCUGCUUGACUUGGCAAGUCUGAGGGAAGCGAACAUAUCCAGAAAGGCAAGACUGGAAUAUUCCAAUUUGAACCGGGCAAUGUCUACGCAAUCCCAGGUGGAUGAGGUUAAAAACUGGCCCAUCUGGUCUAAUGGUAAAAUUGGGGAUGAUUGUGGAAAGAGACAGAGGUGGGAAAGCAGGCUCGGGAUGUGUGCUUCUGACACCCCCGUCCCCCAAGCCCUGGGAACAGGGCCGAGGAUGGCCAUCCAUCUCCUCCGGGCCCCAGAAGGCCAGCAGAGGGGAAACACCAUCCUUUGGUAGCAGAUAAUAACCACAUUGCGCUUACCCGGGGGAGAGGCAGCAGAUCUAGUCCCUAUUUUGAUGUCUCUAACUAGGGGAAAGGAGAGUACUAUCAUGGAUUUCAAACUGGAUUGGACCUUAGGGAUCAUCAAGUCCAACACCUACCCAACCCAUUUUACAUGUGAACAACUGAGUCUUCUAACAACAUUUAGUGACUUAUUCAAGGUCACCCAGCUUGUGUCUGAGAUCACAUCUGAACACGGGUCUUCUCCAUGGCCAGAGCUCCUGAGAGUAUAUCACCAGCUGCCUCUUGGGAAUAUAUGCCCGUGGCUAGUGGACGGAACCAGUCAGGGGCGGACCUGGAACAGAUUUUGGAAGUAAACAAGAGCUCUCAUUUUAUGGAGAGCCCUGGAGCCCAGAGGGCUGGUAAGGGCCCCUUUCCAAGGUCAUAUGGAGGUUGGGGAUGUGGGAGAGCCAGAAUUUGAACAUGGACCUUAGGAUUCCAUGUACAGCUUUCUUUUCCCAUUCCACAUCGCUGGAUGAACUAGAGGAAAAAACUAUCAGGUGUGGUCCAAAUGAAAAAGUCCCCAAGAAAAUGGAAAUGGAAGAAUAGGGGCUAAGAAACCGGCAAAAACAAAAACAAAAACAGAAACUGUGACUCAUGGAUCGUGGAGAAGAGAGAGUGAAAUGUAGAAAAAGAGAAGGAAGAAGGGACAGGCUUCCCCAAAGGACAUUUGUUGGUUUUUUCUUGCGGCCUCGUGCCAGGCUGGCCGAGGAGUUGGAAUCCAGGAUUGUCCCAUCUAGACCGAGUGACUAAUGUGGAAGAGCUGAAUUCAGAGAAUCAAGGGGGUGACCAAUGGAGAGGAACAGCGAGCUCCCACACAGGCUCCAGCUCAAGCCCUUCCUUUUACAGAUCAGAGACCAAGGAGUUUGCUCAAGGAAUCUGAGCAGGAAGUUAGAGACCGGCUUAAAACCCCAGUUUCUGACUCCAAGUCUGGCGCCGACCUUCAAACUCAGCCCCUCAAGCCAGGGGGUUUCUGGACCCUCCCCUUGUGUCCAUGUCUUGUGUUCGUCCCUGCCUGGGGAGCUUUGGUCAACUGCUCCGGGUUCCCUUUGGGCCCAGCACUUAGUGCAGCUUCUCAGAGGGGGAUAGGGGUAUCUGAAGGCUCUCUGCCGUGGAUGAAAGCCCCAACUUCUCCCAGAAUCGGAAUCGGGGGCUUGCAGGCAACGUGCUUCUAAGAUAAAAGGAGAGGAAGUUACCACAAGGACCGCAAUUUUAGGGACAAGAAUAGGGACUUAGCUUUUUCAAAGUCCCACAAUAGAGAUAUGACAGAGAUGAUUUAAGUGUUAUGAUUUCUGUUUUAAGAUAAGGACCCUAAUCCGGUUAUUAAGUAUCAAAGAUAGGAUUUGAGCCCAGAUUAAUUUAUAAUAAUUUCUCAUUGUAGAGAUGAAACCCUGUGGGUGACUGUGAUCCCAAUGAGAACAUAUCAGGACUAGGAGAUGACCCUGGGAAGGAGAAAAUGAAGAAUCCCUAUUCUAAUUCCCUGGCCUUUGUUGAAAAAAGCCGAUGUCCUUUCAAUCCAGUUCAGCUGCUUUCCCUCCCAUAAUGGUUGUUGAAGAGCAGAGCUAUGGAAGCCAAGAUGUCCCGGAGUUUGGGGACAAAGAUUCUGAUUGUGGGUCUCUUUGGCGCCAAGUCCAUUGCACUCCCGCUGUUCGGAUUCAUGUUUUUCCAUUACUGCCGGAGUAAUUUGAGUAACAGAGCUCACCAGCGGCCCUGGGCCUGUCCAUACAGUUCUUUUAUUGGAGAAGAAAUCACAUUUCCUGGGACAAAAGUCACAUUGACAAAGGCCCUAGCAAUAGUCAAGAGCCAUUCACUGUCCAUGUGAGCCCGUCAGCCAGGCUCACUUGUGUGCCCGACUUGGUUGACAACAUUGAAGUGAAUGGGGUCAGCCAGACAUGGGGAAAAUGCAGGGUUUCUUCCUCUUUUCUCUCUCCCAGUUAGAAAAGAACAAUUUUCCUUUUCUGCGCCCCUUCUCCAAUACCCGCAAACCCUUCCCCACUGCCUCCAUUGGGUCCACUUGUCCAGCAUGGGGCUCCUUCUUAAGAGAACUGGUAUAAAGAGAAAAAAAAUCUUCAAUAGUUCUUUUUUCCCUUUUUCCCUCCCCCUUUUUCCUCCUCCUGUCUCAUAAGCACAGCCAGGGUUUCGCCAACUCAUUUACAGGCUCUCUCUUCCUAAUGAUGUUAGCACCUUCUGGUCCUAGAAGUAUAUCUGAAACCAGGGCCCUGACAUGGGCAGAGGCUGCUACCCAAAGGCCCAUCCUAAGCUUGGGGCCCCAAGAACAUCCUAUAAUUUGAAAGCAGCAUAAAAGGGGCCCUGUAACGUCUGGAUCAAACUGUUUAUUUAAUAGAUGAGGAUGCUGACGGUGAGAUUUGCCCAGAGUACCUUGCGUCUGCACCGGCAGAACCAGAGUCAUUGAUUGGAUUGGAUGUAUCUGGGGGAAAUUGGGGGCAAUGGGGGCAAUUGUCAACGUUAGGGUGACUGGAGAUCGUGUCGGGAGAGGGGACUGCCAUUUCUCUGGCACAAUGGCCAUUGAAUGAAAUCACCAGAAGCAUUCAAAAAAGUCUGCUGAAUGAGUAAGGCUCACAGAGGAACUCUGGCUUCUUUGAAUAAACUCUUAUCUUGCUAACUGAUGAAUUUCUGAAAGCUUGGAGCAUUCGGUAUUGACCACUGUUGGAUUGGGUUUGUUCCCAUUCUAAUCACUUCGAUUUGAGCUACCAAGGAUUCAUUUAAGUCCAUUAAAAAUAGUUGCUGAGAUCA